This is a long non-coding RNA of Haliotis rubra (blacklip abalone), 429 nucleotides long. RefSeq lists it as uncharacterized. Lineage: Eukaryota; Metazoa; Mollusca; Gastropoda; Lepetellida; Haliotidae. The transcript has 2 exons. The record is from RefSeq and is a predicted model, not a curated record.
CGUUAGAUUUCUAUUCAUCUGUCUGUUUUGAGCCAAACGGACUAUAGCAUGAACAACGAUACCAGCAUCGGGCAAAGGCGACAUACACACAGCAGAUCGUAACGUACUAGUAUUCCAUGAAGAUUAUAUAAAUAUGUUCUUUUCCAGCAAACAUGUCGGACAAAGUGGAACAAGUUUUAGCCUCUGAUGAGGCCAACUAUGGGGCCAUUGCUGCUGUUGCAACCCUGCUGAUCCUCGUUGUAGCAGUUCUGUUGUACGACUCCACGUGUCGCGGUAGCAGCAUCAAGAAGAGGAGAGCAAGAAGCGGGAACUAUCAGAUGCACGGAGUCACUGCUGGAACCGGGUAGACCUGCAAUACUGUAUCCCCAGCAAUCACGCUACACCGUCACGGAAGAGAAGGACACUGCAUGUAUCGAUGUGAGAGGAUGU